This is a long non-coding RNA of Sinocyclocheilus grahami, 869 nucleotides long. The record is from Ensembl. Lineage: Eukaryota; Metazoa; Chordata; Actinopteri; Cypriniformes; Cyprinidae.
CACUUUAAACCCUCCCUCAGAUAAGACCCAGUCUCAAAUCAGAGCAGUGCAUUCAACAUCUACUUUAUUGUCGUCAUCACCUGUGUUCUUUGAGAGUUGCUUCUGAAUUGUGAAUUUCUUCAUUGCCAUGGAGAGGAGUGAUGAUACAUUUUUAGUAUUUAAGAUCUUCAUACCUAUCGUAACCUUUGGGUUUUUGUCGAUCUGCUGUGCUGGCUGCUGUAAAGUAUUCCAGCGAGUUCGUAAGGAGCGCGUGGAGCAUGUGCAGACUCAAGUUCGAGCCGUGGAUCAACCGUCUGUCUACGUCAUUCCCAUCUCUCUGUCUGAAGAUGAGCUGCACAGACCACCGCGCUACAGCACUGUACAGUUCUGCGAGCUGCCCCCUGCUUAUCACGAGUUGAAUCUGAAGCCCGAGGCCUUUCCUGUGGAACCCCCUCCUGCAUAUUCAGAAUCUGUCUCUCCUUCACCCUCACAUUCAUGAUCAUAAGCGCAUCUCAAGCACUUGGACUGGUUAAAGGAAAAAUAAGAAGCAACGUCAUAUUCUCAUGACUUUUCCAAGGACUACUACUCAUGCUACCUAUACAAAGGUUUAAAUGGUGAGAAAGAUAAUGUCACAGUUAUAAUGUCACUGUGACUCUGAUGGGAUUUUGAACAUGUCCUGCAGGGUCACAAAGACAGUUUUGCACAAUGAGCAGCAGAACUUGGUUAAAGGUUUAAAAGUAUAUAUGUUUUGUUUUGUGAAUAUUUAUCAAUUUUGUACAUGCUAUAGCUAAACUUUUUUUGUUAACUUUGUGAAAUGUGUUCAUUUAUAAGAAAUGUUGUAAAUGGUUGACCUGUUGUAAAUUGUACAGCUGAAACUGUAUGAUUAAAAU